Long non-coding RNA from Corapipo altera (White-ruffed manakin), 623 nucleotides. RefSeq lists it as uncharacterized. Lineage: Eukaryota; Metazoa; Chordata; Aves; Passeriformes; Pipridae. The record is from RefSeq and is a predicted model, not a curated record. The transcript is spliced from 2 exons.
CCUGCAUCAACAUCAAAGGGGUAGGAGGAACCCAGUCAUCGCUCCAAAGUGCCUGCACACUAUUGAUUGAAGGCCCUGAAGUACCCUCCAUCAACGCAGCAGAACCAUCUCGACACUAUCACUGGACCGUCCUGCCUCAAGGAAUGAGAAAUAGCCCCUCUGUGUGACAAAGAGUCAUCACAGAGGUCUUGUCUCCAAUUUGUCGGCAGUUUCCCCAGACCAUCCUGUACCACUAUAUAGACGACAUCCUACUGGCUGCUGAAUCCAAGGAACAACUCGCACAAGUUCAUUUGACUGUGAAAGCUGCUCUGUUAAGACAUGGCCUUGAGGUCGCACCGGAAAAUAAACAAAUGACAAUGCCAUGGAAAUACCUCGGAUUUCACAUCAAUAACACCACGAUUCAACCUCAGACUGUUGCCUUACCCUCCAACAUCCACACCUUAAAUGACUUACAAUCCUUGCUAGGUUUAAUUAAUUGGGUUAGACCUCUCCUAGGUAUAACAACAGACUCUUUAAAACCACUAUUCCAACUUCUGAAAGGGGAGUUGGACCUGACAUCCCCUUGACACCUGGCACCAGAAGCCUGAGCAGUGUUACAGGACAUAAAUCAAAGACUGAGUGCA